This is a long non-coding RNA of Ictalurus punctatus (channel catfish), 1206 nucleotides long. The record is from Ensembl. Lineage: Eukaryota; Metazoa; Chordata; Actinopteri; Siluriformes; Ictaluridae.
UCAUUCACUCAUUGAUGGACUGAUUAAUUCAAGAACAAAAACCUUGCACAUUUUAUCCAUUUAUAGUUACAUUUAAUGUUUAGCUGCUGUUUUCACUUACAUUAUUACAUAAACAUUAAAGAAGUGUUCAGAACACAUCACCACAUCAAAAACGUACAGAUGUUUUAAAUACGUUUGUGUGGAGCAUACAGCAUACAAGUCCCUGUGUAAGAUGUUCUUAUAACGUAUAAGCAUAUUCUUAUUAACCAUAAUGAUAAUGAUCAUGAGUCUUUAUUGGUCACGUAUACAUUAAAGCACAGUGAAAUUCUUUUCUUCGCAUACCCCAGCAUGUCAGGAAGCUGGGGUCAGAGCGCAGGGUCAGUCAUGAUACAGCGCCCCUGGAGUAGAGAGGGUCGAGGGCUUUGCUCAAGGGCCCAACAGUGGCAGCUUGGCAGUACAUGCAGCCAUGCAGCUGACAUUACCGUAACAGACGUAACAGAAAAGUAAUAGAAGUAAUUUUAUACAGAGCAAGAUUCUUUGGUAUGAUAAAAAUUGGAACAGAUCUUUAUCAGCCUAUUUAUCUACUUUCUCUUUCUGCAUACAUACCCACCUACACAUAAGCUUACAGUGGAAACGCGAUAAAUCCCUCCUGCAUGCAAACACACCUUCAGAUUUCACUGAGAACGGAACAUGGCAGAGUUGCUUUUGAAAGCCCGGCUUCACCUCAUUGAGAGAGUUAAUGAAGCUCUCCUUAAGGAUCUUAUUGACGGUCUCAGGGCUGCAAACCCGCCAGUUCUUACUAGCAGGGAAGCGAAUGAGAUAUUGCAGGCCCACAAAGUGAUAGAAGACAAGACUGGAAUACUAAUAAAUAUGGUGUAUGAAAAAGGUGACACUGCCAGCGCCGUUAUGAUGUCUAUUUUGGAACAAAAAGAUGUAAACCUCGCCAAAUACCUUGGCUUUAUCCCGGACUAGCCCGUCAGACACAAAAUAUCAUGUAUGGACAUGAAUAGACUCAAUUAUAUAAAAAAUAAAUAAAUAAAUAAAAAACUCACCAGACCUGCCAAACAAGAAUGUGAAGGAAAUUUGAUCUUCAUUGCUUUUAACUUGUUUGAUAAAACUCAUGCCUGUGUGAGUAUGUUGUGGCACACAAAUAAAUAAAAAUCAAUUUGGACAAACCGAUCAUAAUCAUCUAUGAAUUGAACCUUUCUGUAAAUUAUCUGUACUUUU